Dermacentor albipictus is the source of this 315-nucleotide long non-coding RNA. RefSeq lists it as uncharacterized. The record is from RefSeq and is a predicted model, not a curated record. NCBI's taxonomy places the organism in Eukaryota, Metazoa, Arthropoda, Arachnida, Ixodida, Ixodidae.
UUUGCCGGUCGCGUACGCUGGUACGUGCCGUGCUUGCCCUGCAGGCUAUGCGGCAUGCCUCAAUGCCUUCGCUGCCGCUUAGCUGGUGCGUUCUAAUUGCCAAGAGCCUCUACUGACGCCCAUACAAACAAGCCACAAGGUUGCCUCGUGCCACCAAACUGCGGAAAAGCCUCCCGGAAAACAUGGUUAUCAUUCGCCAUCUGCAAACCUUCAGAGCACCCAAAACUAGCGUUCUCUAACAAUUCCUAAAAAGUUGUAUUAGUAGUUUGCCUUAAUUGUUCUCGCAAAGAAAUUCGAUGAAAUAUGUCUUAUUCC